UGUGUGGAAUAAUUGGAAAGAAGGGUGGCGCCUACCUCCCUUUUUGGUAGGACCAAGGGGCACCAACCCCUUGAAUAAUGCAAGAGGGGCCCGCCCCCUCUUGUGGCAUGGCAUGGAAGAGAGAGAGAGAAAGGCCACGCCCCCUCUCUUGAAUGAAAACCCUAGAAUGGGGUGUCAAGGGUUGGCGCCCCCACCACCUACCCUGUAUUCCAUGAGACGCCCCAUAUGCUUAUCAAAAGGGACUGAUAUCCUACCAAUUAAGUUUGAUUUUAAUAAUU
This 278-nucleotide long non-coding RNA is filed under the name Elaeis guineensis (African oil palm). Its description in RNAcentral is "long non-coding RNA (EGUI_LNC007676)". Lineage: Eukaryota; Viridiplantae; Streptophyta; Magnoliopsida; Arecales; Arecaceae. The record is from RNAcentral.